Molecule: transfer RNA, 70 nt
Filed under: Schizocardium brasiliense
Lineage: Eukaryota; Metazoa; Hemichordata; Enteropneusta; Spengelidae
Description: tRNA-Met
Rfam family: tRNA
About the family: Transfer RNA (tRNA) molecules are approximately 80 nucleotides in length. Their secondary structure includes four short double-helical elements and three loops (D, anti-codon, and T loops). Further hydrogen bonds mediate the characteristic L-shaped molecular structure. tRNAs have two regions of fundamental functional importance: the anti-codon, which is responsible for specific mRNA codon recognition, and the 3' end, to which the tRNAs corresponding amino acid is attached (by aminoacyl-tRNA synthetases). tRNAs cope with the degeneracy of the genetic code in two manners: having more than one tRNA (with a specific anti-codon) for a particular amino acid; and 'wobble' base-pairing, i.e. permitting non-standard base-pairing at the 3rd anti-codon position.
Source: RNAcentral
GGCAGAAUAAGCUAGGUAAGCUAGUGGGCUCAUGACCCAAAAACGGAGGGCUAAAUUCCCCCUUCUGCUA